CAAUUGGAGGGCAAGUCUGGUGCCAGCAGCCGCGGUAAUUCCAGCUCCAAUAGCGUAUAUUAAAAUUGUUGCAGUUAAAACGCUCGUAGUUGAAUUUCAAAGAAUCGAUAUUUUAAGCAACGCUUCUAGCUUAAUCCACAUAACUGAUACUUCGUAUCGACUUUGUGCGCAUUUUGCUAUUAUGUGUUCUUUUAAUUAAAAUGAUUCUUUUUAAGGGUUUUCAUCACUUCUGUUUUGAUUCCCUUGUUACUUUGAGUAAAUUAGAGUGUUCAAAGCAAACAGAUAUAGCAUUGCGCGUUUGAAUACUACAGCAUGGAAUAACAAAAUUGAACAAGUCAGAAUUUUGUUCUUUUUUCUUAUUUUGGCUUAGUUACGAUUAAUAGGAGUAGCUUGGGGGCAUUUGUAUUCAGAUGUCAGAGGUGAAAUUCUUAGAUUUUCUGGAGACAAACAACUGCGAAAGCAUUUGCCUAAAAUACUUCCAUUAAUCAAGAACGAAAGUUAAGGGAGUGAAGACGAUCAGAUACCGUCGUAAUCUU
This 536-nucleotide ribosomal RNA is filed under the name Plasmodium vivax (malaria parasite P. vivax). RNAcentral's name for it is "SSU rRNA". It matches the Rfam family "Eukaryotic small subunit ribosomal RNA", at positions 545 to 1027 of the family's 1831-position model. Lineage: Eukaryota; Apicomplexa; Aconoidasida; Haemosporida; Plasmodiidae. The record is from RNAcentral.